AAUAUUGGCCUGAAGAUCAGUUCAGGCCAGGACUCUUAUCACACAUGUGAAGUUUGGGGAAGAUCGGACAUCUUAUGCCUGAGUUAUAACAUCUUUUAUUCGCAUGGCGAGACAUCGAACUUCGUCGCGGCGCCAUGAACAAGCCUUUUAACGAAAACUCAAGAUCUUCACAACUGAACAUCGCACAGGCCUUUAGAUUAGACUGACCACAAAAAAGACAUUGAUGUCAUAAAAUUUCUAGGAGUAGUUCGUCGCAGCGUAAAAUAUGUCACUUCCUGUUGCCAAUAGGUGGCGCUAUGACUAUAACUGAAUAUGGGCAUGUCAAUCUGUUCAGGUUCGGAGUCUCAUCAAACAUGUGAAGUUUGGGGCAGAUUGGUCAUUGUAUGUGUGAGUUAUAGCAACUUCAUUUUUCAUGGCGAAUCAUCGAAAUUCGCCAGGCCGCCACGGACACGCCCUUCAACGAAAAGUCAGGAUCUUCGCAAUUUAACAUCGCAAAGGCCUUUAGAUUAGGCAUACCAAAUUUGGUGUUGAUUUGAAGAACUCUCUAGGAGGAGUUCGUUAAAAUACAACACAUGGAAAUGACCAAAAUUACACAAAAUAUGCUCAUAAUAUUAAAAAUAACUGACUUCCUGUUGGGUUUAGAAUUUCGCUCCAAGAGUCUUUUUUGUAGGUAUUGGUGUGUUACAUAUGUGUGCCAAUUUUCGUGCAUGUACGUGAAACAUAGCUGGAAGGCUGUUGAUUUUCUUGGUAUAGGUGGCGCUGUCGAGCCAUUUUGCCACACCCUCUUCUGAAUCCUAUAUCAGACGAAAAUUUUCACCAGGUUUGACGCGUGUGCAAAGUUUCAUGACUUUUUGAGCAUGUUAAAGCCCUCAAAAAUGCGAUUCAUUCGGGAGAAGAAGAAGAAGAAGAAGAAGAAU
Molecule: long non-coding RNA, 917 nt
Organism: Carassius gibelio (silver crucian carp)
Lineage: Eukaryota; Metazoa; Chordata; Actinopteri; Cypriniformes; Cyprinidae
Exons: 3
Source: RefSeq, a predicted model, not a curated record